UACGUAGGGGGCAAGCGUUGUCCGGAUUUACUGGGUGUAAAGGGCGCGUAGGCGGGCUUGUUAGUCAGAGGUGAAAUCCUGCGGCUUAACCGUAGAAUUGCCUUUGAUACUGCAAGCCUUGAGUUCGGAAGAGAGAGAUGGAAUUCCAGGUGUAGUGGUGAAAUACGUAGAUAUCUGGAAGAACACCAGUGGCGAAGGCGGUCUCUUGGUCCGUAACUGACGCUGAGGCG
Molecule: ribosomal RNA, 230 nt
Filed under: uncultured microorganism
Description: partial 16S ribosomal RNA
Rfam family: Bacterial small subunit ribosomal RNA
Source: RNAcentral